AACGUAGGUGGCGAGCGUUAUCCGGAAUUAUUGGGAGUAAAGCGCGCGCAGGCGGUCCUUUAAGUCUGAUGUGAAAGCCCACGGCUCAACCGUGGAGGGUCAUUGGAAACUGGGGGACUUGAGUGCAGAAGAGGAAAGCGGAAUUCCACGUGUAGCGGUGAAAUGCGUAGAGAUGUGGAGGAACACCAGUGGCGAAGGCGGCUUUCUGGUCUGUAACUGACGCUGAGGCGCGAAAGCGUGGGGAGCAAACAGG
This 253-nucleotide ribosomal RNA is filed under the name uncultured bacterium. Its description in RNAcentral is "partial 16S ribosomal RNA". It matches the Rfam family "Bacterial small subunit ribosomal RNA", at positions 524 to 776 of the family's 1533-position model. The record is from RNAcentral.